GCCGUCUGACAGACAGAGAGAGAGAGGGAGAGAGCGAUAUCCAGCUCUCUGACUCAUAAAAGGUAAUAAGCGGUCGAAGGUUCGUUUUAAUUCCAUUAAUCAUCAAAGCGCGCGCUCAAAAUUGCACAAAUCGCCAGCGACAACCCCCCCUCAUUGGGUAAACCGCACCUGUGCUUGCCAGGCAGCAGCGGUAGCAGCAGCGCAGCAGCAGCAGCAGCAGCAGCAUUCAAGUGGAUUUUUGUUCAAAGCACGAGCAGAAGAAAUGUCAGAAAUUUGUGUGCGGAGAUAAGCGACAUUCAAUUCAAUUAAUGGCGCGCGCAGCACAAAAACACCACAGGCACAUAUAUACACACACGAACGCAUACACACACACACACACACACACACGCACACAUAUUGCAGCAUAAAACUGGCGAGAGGCUGAGAAUAAAACUGUAAUCGUAAUCCCUGCAGAGCAAGAGUAACAGCAGCAGCAGCAGCAUACAACAACACCACCAACAACAACAACAACAACGACGCCAGGCAAGACUCUUUCGGCAGCAGCGCGCAGCGAAUAAGAAGUAGCGUAGUAUGAGAAGAAAAAAAUUUUCUUUCAGCCAAACGUAAUUGCACUGCUACUGUGCUUAUUUUUGCAAUGGAAAUGCACAUAAAACUGUUUGAAAGCUACUCACGCGUACAAUUCAACACUUGUGGUCCGCUUUUGUGGCCAGUUUGUUUACUCUAAUGCACCAUAAGUAUGUGAAUUUUUGUUAUUUAUUUUAAAUUGUUUAUCAUGAACUGCACACACGACGACGACGACGACAACGACGAACGACCGACGACAGACACGAAGUGUGUACAACACGAAUUACCUACAAUACAUGCAUUUUGCAACACUGUUGCGCUGCCAACUGGUCGUGUCAAAUGGAUUACUCAAAUGUUUUUACAAAUAACAUGCAUUUUAAUGCUCAAUCAAAUAUUAACAAUCUAACAAAUUAAAUUUACACGUGCUUCUUCUGCGGUUUUUGUUGUUGUGUAUA
Drosophila novamexicana is the source of this 1019-nucleotide long non-coding RNA. RefSeq lists it as uncharacterized. The record is from RefSeq and is a predicted model, not a curated record. NCBI's taxonomy places the organism in Eukaryota, Metazoa, Arthropoda, Insecta, Diptera, Drosophilidae. The transcript is spliced from 3 exons.